Molecule: transfer RNA, 64 nt
Filed under: Neotoma lepida (desert woodrat)
Lineage: Eukaryota; Metazoa; Chordata; Mammalia; Rodentia; Cricetidae
Rfam family: tRNA
About the family: Transfer RNA (tRNA) molecules are approximately 80 nucleotides in length. Their secondary structure includes four short double-helical elements and three loops (D, anti-codon, and T loops).
Source: Rfam by way of RNAcentral
GGAGAAAUGGCUCAGUGGUUAAGAGCACUUGCAGAGGACCUGGGCUCAAUUCCCAGCAUCUGCA